RNAcentral lists this microRNA precursor (84 nucleotides) under Xyrichtys novacula (pearly razorfish). Lineage: Eukaryota; Metazoa; Chordata; Actinopteri; Labriformes; Labridae. The record is from RNAcentral.
AGUAUAAAAAAUGUCAUAGUAUAGAAUAAUCAAAAUGUCAUAUGACAUUUUGAUCAUUCUAUACUAUGACAUUUUUUAUUAUAC